AGUGAAUAGAUACCCAGGUAGUCCACGCCGUAAACGUUGGGCACUAGGUGUGGGUCUCAACCAACGAGAUCCGCGCCGUCGCUAAACGCAUUGAGUGCCCCGCCUGGGGAGUACGGCCGCAAGGUUAAAAACUCAAAGGAAUUGACGGGGGCCCGCACAAGCAGCGGAGCGUGUUGCUUAAUUCGAUGCAACGCGAAGAACCUUACCUGGGCUUGACAUGAUAGGAAAAAGCCGUAGAGAUACGGUGUCCUGGGUCGUAUCACAGGUGGUGCAUGGCUGUCGUCAGCUCGUGUCGUGAGAUGUUGGGUUAAGUCCCGCAACGAGCGCAACCCUUAUUCUAUGUUGCCAGCGGGUAAUGCCGGGGACGUCAUAGAAGACUGCCGGGGUCAACUCAGAGGAAGGUGGGGAUGAGGUCAAGUCAUCAUGCCCUAUGUCCAGGGCUGCAAACACGCUACAAUGGCCGGUACAAAGGGCUGCAAACUCGCGAGGGUGAGCGAAU
This 499-nucleotide ribosomal RNA is filed under the name uncultured bacterium. RNAcentral describes it as "bacterial SSU rRNA". It matches the Rfam family "Bacterial small subunit ribosomal RNA", at positions 773 to 1272 of the family's 1533-position model. The record is from RNAcentral.